RNAcentral lists this ribosomal RNA (253 nucleotides) under uncultured bacterium. Its description in RNAcentral is "partial 16S ribosomal RNA". It matches the Rfam family "Bacterial small subunit ribosomal RNA", at positions 524 to 776 of the family's 1533-position model. The record is from RNAcentral.
UACGUAGGGGGCAAGCGUUGUCCGGAAUUAUUGGGCGUAAAGAGCGUGUAGGCGGUUCGGUAAGUCUGCCGUGAAAACCUGGGGCUCAACCCCGGGCGUGCGGUGGAUACUGCCGGGCUAGAGGGUGGUAGAGGCGAGUGGAAUUCCUGGUGUAGCGGUGAAAUGCGCAGAUAUCAGGAAGAACACCAAUGGCGAAGGCAGCUCUCUGGGACGGUACUGACGCUGAGACGCGAAAGCGUGGGGAGCGAACAGG